RNAcentral lists this ribosomal RNA (471 nucleotides) under uncultured bacterium. RNAcentral describes it as "bacterial SSU rRNA". It matches the Rfam family "Bacterial small subunit ribosomal RNA", at positions 60 to 524 of the family's 1533-position model. The record is from RNAcentral.
AGUCGAACGGCAGCACGGGAGUAAUCCUGGUGGCGAGUGGCGAACGGGUGAGUAAUAUAUCGGAACGUGCCCAGUCGUGGGGGAUAACGCAGCGAAAGCUGUGCUAAUACCGCAUACGAUCUCUGGAUGAAAGCGGGGGACUUGUAAAAGCCUCGCGCGAUUGGAGCGGCCGAUAUCAGAUUAGCUAGUUGGUGGGGUAAAAGCUCACCAAGGCGACGAUCUGUAGCUGGUCUGAGAGGACGACCAGCCACACUGGAACUGAGACACGGUCCAGACUCCUACGGGAGGCAGCAGUGGGGAAUUUUGGACAAUGGGCGCAAGCCUGAUCCAGCAAUGCCGCGUGCAGGAUGAAGGCCUUCGGGUUGUAAACUGCUUUUGUACGGAACGAAACGGCUCUUUUUAAUACAGAGGGCUAAUGACGGUACCGUAAGAAUAAGCACCGGCUAACUACGUGCCAGCAGCCGCGGUAAU